This 270-nucleotide ribosomal RNA is filed under the name uncultured prokaryote. RNAcentral's name for it is "partial 16S ribosomal RNA". It matches the Rfam family "Bacterial small subunit ribosomal RNA", at positions 524 to 792 of the family's 1533-position model. The record is from RNAcentral.
UACGUAGGGUGCGAGCGUUGUCCGGAAUUACUGGGCGUAAAGAGCUCGUAGGUGGUUUGUCGCGUCGUCUGUGAAAUUCCGGGGCUUAACUCCGGGCGUGCAGGCGAUACGGGCAUAACUUGAGUACUGUAGGGGAGACUGGAAUUCCUGGUGUAGCGGUGAAAUGCGCAGAUAUCAGGAGGAACACCGAUGGCGAAGGCAGGUCUCUGGGCAGUAACUGACGCUGAGGAGCGAAAGCAUGGGUAGCGAACAGGAUUAGAUACCCGGGUA